AAAUUGAAGAGUUUGAUCAUGGCUCAGAUUGAACGCUGGCGGCAGGCCUAACACAUGCAAGUCGAACGGUAACAGGAAGAAGCUUGCUUCUUUGCUGACGAGUGGCGGACGGGUGAGUAAUGUCUGGGAAACUGCCUGAUGGAGGGGGAUAACUACUGGAAACGGUAGCUAAUACCGCAUAACGUCGCAAGACCAAAGAGGGGGACCUUCGGGCCUCUUGCCAUCGGAUGUGCCCAGAUGGGAUUAGCUAGUAGGUGGGGUAACGGCUCACCUAGGCGACGAUCCCUAGCUGGUCUGAGAGGAUGACCAGCCACACUGGAACUGAGACACGGUCCAGACUCCUACGGGAGGCAGCAGUGGGGAAUAUUGCACAAUGGGCGCAAGCCUGAUGCAGCCAUGCCGCGUGUAUGAAGAAGGCCUUCGGGUUGUAAAGUACUUUCAGCGGGGAGGAAGGGAGUAAAGUUAAUACCUUUGCUCAUUGACGUUACCCGCAGAAGAAGCACCGGCUAACUCCGUGCCAGCAGCCGCGGUAAUACGGAGGGUGCAAGCGUUAAUCGGAAUUACU
This 565-nucleotide ribosomal RNA is filed under the name Escherichia coli. RNAcentral describes it as "bacterial SSU rRNA". It matches the Rfam family "Bacterial small subunit ribosomal RNA", at positions 1 to 555 of the family's 1533-position model. The record is from RNAcentral. Lineage: Bacteria; Pseudomonadati; Pseudomonadota; Gammaproteobacteria; Enterobacterales; Enterobacteriaceae.